Molecule: ribosomal RNA, 253 nt
Filed under: uncultured bacterium
Lineage: Bacteria
Description: partial 16S ribosomal RNA
Rfam family: Bacterial small subunit ribosomal RNA
Source: RNAcentral
GACAGAGGGUGCAAACGUUGUUCGGAAUUACUGGGCGUAAAGCGAGUGUAGGCGGUCUGUUAAGUCGGGUGUGAAAGCCCUGGGCUCAACCCAGGAAGUGCACUCGAAACUGGCGGGCUAGAGUAUCGGAGAGGUUGGUGGAAUUCUCGGUGUAGAGGUGAAAUUCGUAGAUAUCGAGAGGAACACCGGUGGCGAAGGCGGCCAACUGGACGAAUACUGACGCUGAGACUCGAAAGCGUGGGGAGCAAACAGG